AUGUUUGUUAGGCAUAAAGAGAAAGAUAAUUUUCAUGUGAGGCUGCAAGUUGAUGUGCUUGAGCAGGCAUUUGGACCUAGGAUGGCGGGUGCAACAUCUCAGGGAGAAUCAAUUCGUCGUAAUGGCAUCUCUAGCCAGAACAGUUCAGUUGGUGCACGGCGACGUGGUGGCUCGACAAGUGUGGGCAACAGCAGUAGGGUCCCCCUUGAAGUGGAGCCUGAUGGCUACAAUUCUGGGGUUGAUGAAGAGAAGUUAUAUUCUGAUGUUAUUCAGAAUUUACGACGGGCACCUCGGGCUGAAAACCAAGAUGAGGCUCACAAUGCAGUCCGUGUGGAUGAUGACGCGAUGGGUGAGGACGAAGACCUUGCAGCUGUUGAAUGGGACCCUUUGAACCCUCAAAUGGAAGAAGGUACAGUUUUUGCAUCCAUGAAUAAGUGUAGAAAUGCACUUGUGACAUACUGCAUCAAGGUAGAAUGUACUUUCAAAGUUGGCAAGAGCGAUCAAGUACGUUACAGAGUGCACUAUCCGACUGAGGGUUGUCCAUGGAGGCUGCUUGCAUCUAAAAUGCGGAAUAGCACUAAUGUUCAGGUCAAAGUGAACCCUUUUAAGCACACAUGCUAG
This 621-nucleotide ribosomal RNA is filed under the name Triticum aestivum (bread wheat). Its description in RNAcentral is "partial small subunit ribosomal RNA". The record is from RNAcentral. Lineage: Eukaryota; Viridiplantae; Streptophyta; Magnoliopsida; Poales; Poaceae.